ACGAACGCUGGCGGCGUGCUUAACACAUGCAAGUCGCACGAGAAAGUCUUCGGACGAGUACAGUGGCGCACGGGUGAGUAAUACAUAGGAACGUGCCUAUUAGUGGGGGACAACUGCUGGAAACGGCAGCUAAUACCGCAUAAUUUCGAGAGAAUAAAGGUGGCCUCUACUUGUAAGCUACCGCUAAUAGAUCGGCCUAUGUCCCAUUAGCUAGUUGGCAGGGUAAAAGCCUACCAAGGCAACGAUGGGUAGCUGGUCUGAGAGGACGAUCAGCCACACUGGAACUGAGACACGGUCCAGACUCCUACGGGAGGCAGCAGUGGGGAAUCUUGCGCAAUGGGCGAAAGCCUGACGCAGCAACGCCGCGUGAGUGAAGAAGGCCUUUGGGUUGUAAAGCUCUUUCGACUGGGGAGAAGGGCUCUUGCGUGAAUAAUACAAGAGUUUGACUGUACCAGGGGAAGAAGCCCCGGCUAACUUCGU
This 480-nucleotide ribosomal RNA is filed under the name uncultured bacterium. RNAcentral describes it as "bacterial SSU rRNA". It matches the Rfam family "Bacterial small subunit ribosomal RNA", at positions 29 to 506 of the family's 1533-position model. The record is from RNAcentral.